UACGGGGGGAGCAAGCGUUGUUCGGAUUUACUGGGCGUAAAGGGCGCGUAGGCGGUCAGCACAAGUCAGUUGUGAAAUCUCCGGGCUUAACUCGGAAAGGUCAACUGAUACUGUGCGACUAGAGUGCGGAAGGGGCAACUGGAAUUCUCGGUGUAGCGGUGAAAUGCGUAGAUAUCGAGAGGAACACCUGCGGCGAAGGCGGGUUGCUGGGCCGACACUGACGCUGGAUGCGCGAAAGCCAGGGGAGCGAGCGGG
RNAcentral lists this ribosomal RNA (255 nucleotides) under uncultured bacterium. RNAcentral's name for it is "partial 16S ribosomal RNA". It matches the Rfam family "Bacterial small subunit ribosomal RNA", at positions 524 to 776 of the family's 1533-position model. The record is from RNAcentral.